GAACGUGCUAAACAAUACCACAGGCAUACAACCAGACGUAUCCAGAAUGCAGGAAACUGUAUAGGACAAGUUACCUGGUUUCUUCAAAAAACAGCAAAUAGGAAAAAAGUAAGAGAGAGGGGUAACUCUAAAUUAAGAGACUUAAGAGAUAUCAACCAAAUUAAAUGUGUGGACCUUGUUUGGAUCAUGAUUUGAACUAGCUAUAAAAAGGUGAGAUAAUCAGGGAUAUUUAAAUACUGUACAUUUGAUGAUAUUAAGGAAUUAUUAUUAUUUUUCUAAUGUGUGAUAAUGUUAAAGAAAAAAAGAGUCCUAUUGAGAGAUACAUAACAAUCUGAUGCCUGGGAUUUGCUUCAAAAAUAAUGUAGAGGGCAGAGUGUGGAAUAAGGGAAGUAUAAAUCAAGAUUGACCACUUGCUGAUACUCAUGUGC
Molecule: non-coding RNA, 428 nt
Organism: Ceratotherium simum simum (southern white rhinoceros)
Lineage: Eukaryota; Metazoa; Chordata; Mammalia; Perissodactyla; Rhinocerotidae
Source: RefSeq, a predicted model, not a curated record